AUUGAACGCUGGCGGCAGGCCUAACACAUGCAAGUCGAGCGAGCGGCGGACGGGUGAGUAAUGUAUGGGGAUCUGCCCGAUAGAGGGGGAUAACUAAUGGAAACGGUGCCCAAUACCGCACUCUAUAGGCUGAACCCAUUUUGGAUUAGCUAGUAGGAGGGGUAAAGGCUCACCUAGGUGACGAUCUCUAGCUGGUCUGUGAGGAUGAUCAGCCACACUGGAACUGAGACACGGUCCAGACUCCUACGGGAGGCAGCAGUGGGGAAUAUUGGACAAUGGGCGAAAGCCUGAUGCAGCCAUGCCGCGUGUGUGAAGAAGGCCUUCGGAUUGUAAAGUACUUUCAGCGGGGAGGCGUUACCCACAGAAGAAGCACCGGCUAACUCCGUGCCAGCAGCCGCGGUAAUUC
Molecule: ribosomal RNA, 406 nt
Filed under: uncultured bacterium
Lineage: Bacteria
Description: partial 16S ribosomal RNA
Rfam family: Bacterial small subunit ribosomal RNA
Source: RNAcentral